This is a long non-coding RNA of Dromaius novaehollandiae (emu), 1553 nucleotides long. RefSeq lists it as uncharacterized. The transcript is spliced from 4 exons. NCBI's taxonomy places the organism in Eukaryota, Metazoa, Chordata, Aves, Casuariiformes, Dromaiidae. The record is from RefSeq and is a predicted model, not a curated record.
AAUAGUUGGGGGAAAAAAAGGGAAGGAACAGCAAGAAACACCCCCACUUCUUGAAAUUUACUUAUUUGCGAUAAAAAAUGGACAGACAGAUAGAAACUGCCACUUACAUUUGUUUUCUAAGUUGUCACAUAGUGAGACUCUGAACCAGAAGAGUGAUCAGAGCUCCAGGAUUGGAAGGAAGCCUUAGAAGUCUUCUGGCUAGUGACAGCAGAAGUGCUGGGGCAUUCUCCCUGAGAACUGAAAAGUGGGUACUGCAUCCACACUGGUCAUAUUUUGAGGAUCUGGAAUCUCUUCACUGUUCUCUGCAGAACAGUGCCUAAAGCUUGUCACAUUUCAGAUUCAGAAUUCAUUGCCACAGUGAGCUGCUAUUGCUGCAUGGGUACUCUCCUGCAUUGUCUCAAACUGCCUUGUAAUAAAGCUCUGGAGCGGUAUUUCUCUGGACUUUCCUGGUGGAUGGACAAAAUUCAUCUUCUCCCUAAUAGUCAGCCAGUAAGAACAGGACUCUGUAAAAACAGUGGGACUAUUUAGGUCACCAUGUACCUGUAUUGCACAUGGCCAUAUGUGCUGCAUCAUCUCUCUUUGCAUCUCUCUCUCUCUCUCUACUUCUGCAAUGGAAGGAGAAAAAGGGAGUUUUCACUCCAAAUCUCCUUUAAUAGGUAAGACUGGCUAACAUAAUGCAAAUAUUCAGCUUGAUGUUAAUGGUUAUUUAUGCUUUACAAUCUGAUAUUAAGUUAACUGAACCAGUCUGACUUGGGGAGAUUUCCAGGUGCUUUCCUGUUCCUCUUGCUAUUAAGGCAGGAACAAGGAUCACAUUUCUUGGCCAAUUCAGCACCCGUUCUCUUUCUGAGGGGUGAAUUCUGGGAUGUAGAAUUAUACUGUGCGGACAGCUGUGCUCUCCUAUUCCUCUGUGCAAGUAUUUCCUGGGAUGAGUAUGCCUCCCCCCAGUUAGCUCAUCAUUGUGGCAUGAAAUGAAGCAAGUUUUUGAGCAUUUCCCAGUGCAUGGGUACCAUGAACUGCUUUUCCAGCCUACUUCAGUUCCUCUCCUGUAAACAUAUGAACAAAUGUUUUCAGAAACAUUUUAUAUUAAAGCACAGUUACAUUUUCUUCUGACUAUCCAAAAAACAUAAAAAAUUUAGGCAUCACUUCAUAUGCCAAAUUCCCAAACUCAUGUUUUCUGAUGAUGUCAUUUUUCACUAAGACUUUGCAGAAGACUUGGAAACAUUCAUAGUUUCAAGAGUUAUUUGCAAGUAUUUUGCAGUUUGCAUGAAAUGAGAAUUUCUGCUCCUGUGAAUGUCUAGAAUCUUCUGAUAAGACACAAUGACUGCGUAAUUUUUUUCACCCUUUUUUAAAUAAAAAGAACUCAUGGCAGCCAACAGAAAGAAUAUUAGAUAUGGUAAACUGGAAGUAGUGCCACUUCUUAAACUCCUUGCUCUCCUGUACACAAUAAUAAAAAAACCCCUGCUAUUCACCAACUUUAUUAAUUUAUGAGAAACCUCUUGAGCCAAGAAUUCUUUCUGUGCCAUCAUAUAUCUUUGAAUAAAAUUGCAUCUUGC